AGUGAACGCUGGCGGCAGGCCUAACACAUGCAAGUCGAGCGGAUGAACAGUGAUUGCUCCUUGUUUCGGGUGCGGACGGGUGGGUAGGUCCUAAGAAUCUCCGUAUCUAUUUUUUCGAACGUCCGGACACGGGCGCUCAUACCCCAUUACCCCUUACGACGUACGGGUGAGAGCAGGGGACCUUAGGCCCUUAGAUGAGUCUAUGACGGAUUAGCUAGUUGGUGGGGUAAAGGCCUACCAAGGCGACGAUCCGUAGCUGGUCUGAGAGGAUGAUCAGUCACACUGGAACUGAGACACGGUCCAGACUCCUACGGGAGGCAGCAGUGGGGAAUAUUGGACAAUGGGCGAAAGCCUGAUCCAGCCAUGCCGCGUGGGUGAAGAAGGUCUUCGGGUUGUAAAGCCCUUUUAUUGGGGAAGAAAGGCAGUAGGUUAAUACCCCGCUGUUUUGACGGUACCAAAAGAAUAAGCACCGGCUAACUUCGUG
This 484-nucleotide ribosomal RNA is filed under the name uncultured bacterium. RNAcentral's name for it is "partial 16S ribosomal RNA". It matches the Rfam family "Bacterial small subunit ribosomal RNA", at positions 29 to 507 of the family's 1533-position model. The record is from RNAcentral.